This 410-nucleotide ribosomal RNA is filed under the name uncultured bacterium. RNAcentral describes it as "bacterial SSU rRNA". It matches the Rfam family "Bacterial small subunit ribosomal RNA", at positions 30 to 433 of the family's 1533-position model. The record is from RNAcentral.
AUUGAACGCUGGCGGCAUGCCUUACACAUGCAAGUCGAACGGCAGCACGGGAGCUUGCUCCUGGUGGCGAGUGGCGAACGGGUGAGUAAUGCAUCGGAACGUGCCCUGAAGUGGGGGAUAACGUAGCGAAAGUUACGCUAAUACCGCAUAUUCUGUGAGCAGGAAAGCAGGGGAUCUUCGGACCUUGCGCUUUUGGAGCGGCCGAUGUCGGAUUAGCUAGUUGGUGGGGUAAAGGCCCACCAAGGCGACGAUCCGUAGCGGGUCUGAGAGGAUGAUCCGCCACACUGGAACUGAGACACGGUCCAGACUCCUACGGGAGGCAGCAGUGGGGGAAUUUUGGGACAAUGGGCGCAAGCCUGAUCCAGCCAUGCCGCGUGAGUGAAGAAGGCCUUCGGGUUGUUAAAGGACUC